AGAGUUUGAUCCUGGCUCAGGAUGAACGCUAGCGGCAGGCUUAACACAUGCAAGUCGAGGGGUAGAAGGAGCUUGCUCCUUUGAGACCGGCGCACGGGUGCGUAACGCGUAUGCAAUCUACCUUGUACAGGGGGAUAGCCCAGAGAAAUUUGGAUUAAUACCCCAUAGUAUUUUCAGAUGGCCUCAUUUGAUUAUUAAAGUUCCAACGGUACAAGAUGAGCAUGCGUCCCAUUAGCUAGUUGGUGUGGUAACGGCAUACCAAGGCAACGAUGGGUAGGGGUCCUGAGAGGGAGAUCCCCCACACUGGUACUGAGACACGGACCAGACUCCUACGGGAGGCAGCAGUGAGGAAUAUUGGUCAAUAGGCGCAAGCCUGAACCAGCCAUGCCGCGUGCAGGAUGACGGUCCUAUGGAUUGUAAACUGCUUUUGUACAGGAAGAAACCCUCCCUUGUAAGGGAGCUUGACGGUACUGUAAGAAUAAGGAUCGGCUAACUCCGUGCCAGCAGCCGCGGUAAU
Molecule: ribosomal RNA, 517 nt
Filed under: Flavobacterium columnare
Lineage: Bacteria; Pseudomonadati; Bacteroidota; Flavobacteriia; Flavobacteriales; Flavobacteriaceae
Description: bacterial SSU rRNA
Rfam family: Bacterial small subunit ribosomal RNA
Source: RNAcentral